UACGAGUGCUUCAAGCGUUAUCCGGAAUCAUUGGGCGUAAAGGGUGUGUAGGCGGUUAUGUUAGUCUUUCGUUAAAUUCUUCGGCUCAACCGGGGGCAUGCGGAGGAAACGGCAUAACUUGAGGAUGGAAGGGGUCUCUGGAACUCAUGGUGUAGCGGUGAAAUGCGUUGAUAUCAUGGGGAACACCGAAAGCGAAGGCAAGAGACUGGUCCACUCCUGACGCUGAAACACGAAAGCGUGGGUCGCGAAUGGG
Molecule: ribosomal RNA, 253 nt
Filed under: uncultured bacterium
Lineage: Bacteria
Description: partial 16S ribosomal RNA
Rfam family: Bacterial small subunit ribosomal RNA
Source: RNAcentral